CAGAAGAUAGUUUAAAAAAAAUUUUAAUUUUGGAGAUUAAGAAUAAGAAUAUUUUCUUUCUUCUGA
RNAcentral lists this transfer RNA (66 nucleotides) under Ochthebius sp. IBE<ESP> AN164. Its description in RNAcentral is "tRNA-Pro". The record is from RNAcentral. Lineage: Eukaryota; Metazoa; Arthropoda; Insecta; Coleoptera; Hydraenidae.